CAGCGAGUUGGUAGCUACGAGCCAAGGGCGGUAGCGUA
This 38-nucleotide non-coding RNA is filed under the name Dickeya solani. RNAcentral's name for it is "JUMPstart". It matches the Rfam family "JUMPstart RNA". Lineage: Bacteria; Pseudomonadati; Pseudomonadota; Gammaproteobacteria; Enterobacterales; Pectobacteriaceae. The record is from RNAcentral.